RNAcentral lists this long non-coding RNA (428 nucleotides) under Physcomitrium patens. RNAcentral's name for it is "long non-coding RNA (PPAT_LNC014069)". The record is from RNAcentral. Lineage: Eukaryota; Viridiplantae; Streptophyta; Bryopsida; Funariales; Funariaceae.
UUGUAUAUGAGAAUUCAAAUACAAGAAAAGACUAAGUGCAUGAGUUUUACUUGUUAGGAUCACAUAAUUAACCGUAUUCCGAACCACUAAAACACUAAGAAAUACUACAAUGCUUUCUCCCAGUGACAAUACUCCUUCAUUAGCUGAUAACAACAGUGUGCAAUCCUGCACUCUCAAAAGACUCCUCAAAAUACAUAAUUUCCAUCCAACACUAGAAAUAACAGACUUCACUCCAAGGAAUCUGAUUUCACAGAAUUUCUGUAAUCACCAACUUCUUUUGUCCAAAAUACACACAACUCUCAAUAAACAACAAUCAUAAUCUUCCAAUAACUCCUCAUAUAAUUCAAACACUCAGUAUUUCAAUUACAUAAUUAAUAACUCAUAAAUCAAUCUAUGAUUUAUUCCACAGACUCACUUCUCAGUAUUCA